This 432-nucleotide long non-coding RNA is filed under the name Brassica napus (rape). Its description in RNAcentral is "long non-coding RNA (BNAP_LNC015813)". Lineage: Eukaryota; Viridiplantae; Streptophyta; Magnoliopsida; Brassicales; Brassicaceae. The record is from RNAcentral.
AUAAUUUAUAGUCAAUAUAAAUAUAACAUAAUAUUUUUAUUUUUAUUUUCACAUUACUAUAGAUCGCUGAAAAAAAAAGGGCAAAUCUCCAAAAUAGCACAUUUCUAAGUUUAUGUCACAAAAAUAACCUUCAAAAACUAAAAUGACCAAAAUAGCAUUUUAUCUUUUGAAAAAUUUACAUUUUUUUUAUUUUUCAAAAUUUGAAAUCUUAUCCCAAAACCCAACUCCCCAACUCUAAACUCUAAACCCUAAACCCUAAACCCUAAACCCUAAACCCCAACCCUUAACUCUAAACCGUAAACCCUAAACUCUAAACCCUAAAUCCCACCCCUAAACUCUAAAUCAUAAACCCUAAACUCUAAACCCUAAACCCUAAAUCAUAAACCUCACCUCUUAACUCUAAACCCUAAUGUCUAAAUUAAUUUACCAUUG